RNAcentral lists this ribosomal RNA (457 nucleotides) under uncultured Pelotomaculum sp. RNAcentral describes it as "bacterial SSU rRNA". It matches the Rfam family "Bacterial small subunit ribosomal RNA", at positions 925 to 1382 of the family's 1533-position model. Lineage: Bacteria; Bacillati; Bacillota; Clostridia; Eubacteriales; Desulfotomaculaceae. The record is from RNAcentral.
ACAAGCGGUGGAGCAUGUGGUUAAUUCGACGCAACGCGAAGAACUUACCAGGCUUGACAUCCCCUGACCGCGUAUGAAAGUACGUUUUCACCCUCGGGUGACAGGGAGACAGGUGGUGCAUGGUUGUCGUCAGCUCGUGUCGUGAGAUGUUGGGUUAAGUCCCGCAACGAGCGCAACCCCUACGUUUAGUUGCUAACGCGUGAAGGCGAGCACUCUAGACGAACUGCCGUUGACAAAACGGAGGAAGGUGGGGAUGACGUCAAAUCAUCAUGCCCCUUAUGUUCUGGGCUACACACGUGCUACAAUGGCCGGUACAGACGGACGCAAAGCCGCGAGGUGGAGCAAAUCCUAAAAAGCCGGUCUCAGUUCGGAUUGCAGGCUGCAAUUCGCCUGCAUGAAGUCGGAAUCGCUAGUAAUCGCAGGUCAGCAUACUGCGGUGAAUACGUUCCCGGGCCUU